Dioscorea cayenensis subsp. rotundata (Guinea yam) is the source of this 410-nucleotide long non-coding RNA. RefSeq lists it as uncharacterized. The record is from RefSeq and is a predicted model, not a curated record. The transcript is spliced from 2 exons. NCBI's taxonomy places the organism in Eukaryota, Viridiplantae, Streptophyta, Magnoliopsida, Dioscoreales, Dioscoreaceae.
UAGCCUAUACUAUAUAAGAGAGUUCGCUGGAAUCCGUCGGCCAUUCUCCGGAGCGCUGCCGCCGGGGAUAUCCCGAAGAGCUCGAAGCAGCCGUCCUCCAUCUCCCGCUGCUAUCGAUAAUGGUUGCUUGAAUCGGGAGAUGAGACUGCCACUCCCCUAAGGCAAUAAUUUUUUGGACUCUUGACCAUCACACCAUGCUGCUGCACUGGCAAAUCAAUCCAAAACCAAAAGCCAUGCCUUAACUGAAGUUGUGCAGAACUGGUAAAGAAUUUUGAAUGUUGAUUGUUGAAUGUAUCUUUUAUGUCAAUGUUUUAUUCUUUGAGUUAUACUCCAAGAGCAAACUAACCAUCAGAUUGAAUUUGAAUGGCCCCUCCAUCAAAAAUAAAAAGUUUAGGUUCUUCAUUCUUGAA